CUACCUUGCUCCUACCUAUCUCUGGGCAGGAGAUCACUAGCAGAUGACAGUGCUGGCAUAGAUAAAUGAUCCUGAUACUGAGGUCAACUCCCUCCCUGCGAUCUAGUCUGACCCUGUCUGUGCUGCUCGAACCUAGCUCUCUUAUUUCCUCUCAUUCUAUCUUUCUCCUUAAUCUUGUCUGCCUCAAUUUAUUAGGUAUGAGUCAUCAGCCU
Molecule: long non-coding RNA, 212 nt
Filed under: Capsicum annuum
Lineage: Eukaryota; Viridiplantae; Streptophyta; Magnoliopsida; Solanales; Solanaceae
Description: long non-coding RNA (CANN_LNC013696)
Source: RNAcentral